Molecule: ribosomal RNA, 1190 nt
Filed under: Sesame phyllody phytoplasma
Lineage: Bacteria; Bacillati; Mycoplasmatota; Mollicutes; Acholeplasmatales; Acholeplasmataceae
Description: bacterial SSU rRNA
Rfam family: Bacterial small subunit ribosomal RNA
Source: RNAcentral
CCUUUUAAAAGACCUAGUAAUAGGUAUGCUUUAGGAGGGGCUUGCGCCAUAUUAGUUAGUUGGUAGGGUAAUGGCCUACCAAGACGAUGAUGUGUAGCUGGACUGAGAGGUUGAACAGCCACAUUGGGACUGAGACACGGCCCAAACUCCUACGGGAGGCAGCAGUAGGGAAUUUUCGGCAAUGGAGGAAACUCUGACCGAGCAACGCCGCGUGAAUGACGAAGUACUUCGGUAUGUAAAGUUCUUUUAUCAAGGAAGAAAAGCAAAUGGCGAACCAUUUGUUUGCCGGUACUUGAUGAAUAAGCCCCGGCUAAUUAUGUGCCAGCAGCCGCGGUAAGACAUAAGGGGCAAGUGUUAUCCGGAAUUAUUGGGCGUAAAGGGUGCGUAGGCGGUCUAGUAAGUCAGUGGUGUAAUGGCAACGCUUAACGUUGUCCGGCUAUUGAAACUGCUAAACUUGAGUUAGAUAGAGGCGAGUGGAAUUCCAUGUGUAGCGGUAAAAUGCGUAAAUAUAUGGAGGAACACCAGAGGCGUAGGCGGCUCGCUGGGUCUUAACUGACGCUGAGGCACGAAAGCGUGGGGAGCAAACAGGAUUAGAUACCCUGGUAGUCCACGCCGUAAACGAUGAGUACUAAGUGUCGGGUUAAACCGGUACUGAAGUUAACACAUUAAGUACUCCGCCUGAGUAGUACGUACGCAAGUAUGAAACUUAAAGGAAUUGACGGGACUCCGCACAAGCGGUGGAUCAUGUUGUUUAAUUCGAAGAUACCCGAAAAACCUUACCAGGUCUUGACAUGUUUUUGCAAAAUGAUAGUAAUAUCGUGGAGGUUACCAGAAACACAGGUGGUGCAUGGUUGUCGUCAGCUCGUGUCGUGAGAUGUUAGGUUAAGUCCUAAAACGAGCGAAACCCUUAUCGUUAGUUGCCAGCACGUUAUGGUGGGGACUUUAACGAGACUGCCAAUGAUAAAUUGGAGGAAGGUGAGGAUCACGUCAAAUCAGCAUGCCCCUUAUGACCUGGGCUACAAACGUGAUACAAUGGCUGUUACAAAGGGUAGCUGAAACGCAAGUUCUUGGCCAAUCCCCAAAAACAGUCCCAGUCCGGAUUGAAGUCUGCAACUCGACUUCAUGAAGUUGGAAUCGCUAGUAAUCGCGAAUCAGCAUGUCGCGGUGAAUACGUUCUCGGGGUUUGUACA